UUGUGUCUCUCGCGAACUUCAAACAAGGGAAGGUCUCGCGAACCAAACCCUCAAGAACAACAAUCCCUCUCUCGAUUUGAAACUCUCUCAAUCACGACAAUCCCUCACUCUCACUCGUCCUCUCUCACUCGUUCUCGUCAUCUCAAUUUCGAACCCUAGGUCCCAAAUCGAAGUUCAGUGAAACAAAUUGAAGCUUCUCUCAGAUCGUUCCUCUCCCUACAACUGAAAACACAAACAGGUGAAUUAUGAGUUUAAUACCUCAACUAGAUCAUCAGACAUGUUAAAUGGCAAUUACGAACAUUUUAUGGAGAAUUUAUCAUUGCUGUUACGUUGGUCACCAUAUUCAUCAGAAAAAGAUCUUCUAAAACAGUUUGAUAACAUGGGAUCUCACGGCACUAAAGUUAUCGUCUACAAUUUGUGGUUUAAUGAUGAGGGGAUUACAGAGUUGGAUUUUGAUACAGAUCCCAAGGAUAUUCGUAUUGCUUGGGAUAUCAAGAAACUCGGCACUAAACCUGCAUGGAAGAGAAUUCAGGAGGAACAUAUUGCUGAACGAUUUCGUUACUCUUUACGUGUAGUGGGAUUGUGUUCAUUCCUGGAAGAGCUGCAAAGACAGUAAAAGCGGAAGUGGAUGUAUAAUAUUUUUAAAACACUGAGCAGAACACAGAGAAACCCUUUGCUUCGCUAGUAACUCCUUGAGUGCGUUGAGGAUCGGAGACCAUAUAGUCCUGGAAGGACUUCUUCAAAUCCUGCAGCAACUUCCUAUCAUCAUGGCAGGGGGGUAACCUCACAGAAGAAGGGUUCGUAGACCAAAUUUAUACUAAGUGGUCCCUUUACAACAAAUCAUUGAGUCAUACAGAGAUAGCAUUUGCAUUUUUUUGAGUGUGCAUUCAUAGCUAGAAGCCAUUAAGGAAGUUAUUUGGUCUUAAGUUAUGUUUGUUGAGACUAUAUGUUUAGUUGUUUACCAAUUUAUCUACCAGAUUUGGUGGCUUAGUCUUUGUCUUUAAAUUAUUUUACCUCUACCUUGUUUGCAGAUCUACCAAGGGAUUCAAGUGUGAUUAAUGAUGGCUUGCAACAAGAUGGCAGCAGUGGAAUCUCAGACAUUUUGCCUCUUGUCACCUGUGCUUGUGCCAUUUUGGCUAUUACAAGAGGCAAACCACAGAUGCAUGGCCUACAUCUAUUCCAGUAACUAUUUUUACUGUUAAUAGUGGAUGAGAAGGAGAAAUAGUGUCAUUUGCUCAAAAAAUUUAGGUUUGUAUUUGAUCAACUUGAGAUAGAUUCGUCAAAUGGUUUUCUCCGCAAAUUUGAAAGAUUUUCGGGCAAUAUCCAGGCCUUCGUAGAAAGAUCCUUGACAAUAGCCAUAGCACCUUCAUCCUCUGCACAGUUCCCACAUUCAGAAAAGAAACAUCCAAGAUUCCAAACCACGGGGAGCAGAGCACCUUCAAUUCUGCCAGCAAGCUCACUUUCUUGGUUGAUGUUAAGCCUCUCCAUAAUGGUGUGAUGAACACUCAACUCAGCAAGCUAUCAAAUAUGGUAUAUAUAUAUAUAUCUAUACUAAAAAGUCUUUUUUUUUGUAAUGACUUGGUAUUUUGCUUGAAUUGUAAUGACUUGGUAUUUUGCUUUAAUGACAUUUGAUCAUAUUAUGUAAUUGUAUUUUGGUUGAAUGUUGAA
Molecule: RNA transcript, 1668 nt
Organism: Trifolium pratense (red clover)
Lineage: Eukaryota; Viridiplantae; Streptophyta; Magnoliopsida; Fabales; Fabaceae
Gene name: protein MICRORCHIDIA 6-like
Exons: 9
Source: RefSeq, a predicted model, not a curated record